CCAGCCCGAGAGAGAGGGAGAGGGAAAGGGAAAGGGAGAGAGAGAGAGAGACUUUCCCCCAGCCACCCCCACCCCUUUUUUCUUUUUUUCUCCGAGGCUGCACUUUGGAAGAGAUCAUGUAGAAAGGACAGAAAGUGAGCAGGGACCGGGGGCUUUUGUCUAUUGUUCUCCUUGUGCUACUUGAGAGAAACUGCAAUCGCAAGACUUAACAGAAUCUAAAAAUGGUUUAUCAACCAAGGUCAAUGACUUGGGUAAGCCAGAAAAUCUUUCCAGCCAGUGGAGGGGAUGGGGGAUUUCCAAAGGGGAAUCUCCCCAUCUCGAAGGAAGUGAAUCGCAAGAAAAGUGAGGCGGAAGGGGAGUACCUGGUUCCAGUAAAUGGCUAUGGACGCCACUUCACCAAAAUCAAUUACCUCAACUCUUAUUAAACAUUAUUUCUCCAUUCGUAUUACAUAUGGUGUAUGGGUUUGAUGAGGUCAUGGUGUCAUAUCUUGGGGAUUGUUUUUGUGUAAAUCAUCAAGUGUAAGAAGAAACUAUGGGACUCUGAGCCUUGCUUUAGAGAAUAACAGUGGACAAAUGUGUACCAUAAAAACUAGUUUUUAACAUUCUAACUCAAGCGAAAGCUCUCAGAAUUUCACACUGUGAAUCCAUGUUUACAAACAUUACAGGUGGGCCCUCAGGCCUGGUUCUACCACAACAAUGUCUUCCACUACUCAAACUCCACAGCUCACAUGAAACUGGUUAACAGCUCUCUCCAUUUCCACCAACCUGAACUGCUUCUUGCAGAGGCUGAGAGUCCCCCUUUUUUCAUUUAGAUGUAACAAGCCUAGUAGUUUAUUUUCAUUGAUUGUCUGUAUAUCUCUAUAUUUUAUCCAUGUACUCUUUUGAUGUAUAGAAGUAGUAUGAAACUCAUGGUUUCCUUGUGGUAAGUGAUCGUGAUGCUGCCACGGGAUUUGAGACACUGAUGAAUGGUGCUAUUUUGGACUUUAAAUAUGCUCCUUGGCAAGGUAGCUCUGAUGGAGUUAUUUUUUAUUUCCAUGUUCUGAGAAGGUGUUGGUACUUUGUUUUUCUGAAUGUUGUUCUUUAGACUGGACUGACUUGUUUACUUGUGUCUUCAGUGUGGCUUUCUUAUUCAGUGCUGUAGGUGAGUAACUACUUAUAGCAUACAAGUGAGGAACUGAUUCCCUAUCAGUGUCCACUCACAAACAUGCAGUUACAGUGGGAGCAAUCACAAAACUGUAAUUUACAUAAAAUCUCCUUUCUGACUCCUGUCCACCUUAUGGAGAAAGACGAGCAAUAAUUUUCCACCAACUUCUCAAAGUCUCUUGAUUUUUGUCUUUUUUUCUUACAAGCCUUUUAAAAAGAAGGGACAAGUUUUAAUGUCCUCUUCAAAUCCAAAAAAUAGGGGAUAUAGUAAGAAAAAUACAGCAAAUUUCUGGGAGGAGAAGUCCUAAAGGGGAAGGGUACAUUUCCACAGUCCUGUCAACAUGUGGACUUUACAUUUUUGUUCUUGCUCCCAGACUACUAUCAAUACAAAAUAACACAAACCACAAAACUAAGCAGUACCAUCUACUCAUGGAGUGUUGUUGUGUUAGACACAGUCUGAAAGCCCACCUUAAUUUUUUAUAUAAUUCUGUCUUUUAGCUCUUCCUUUUACAGGGCAGGCCUUGUUCUGAACUGUCUUAGCUUCUGACUGUUAAAUACCAAUGCAUGCACUGCACUUCCUAGAUUUCUUUCCCUUCCCCACCUUCUGUAUCCCUUUCCUUAUACCUUUUAUUUUUCAAUAGAUUAGAUACGUCUGUUGUGCUGUAUAUAGAGCAAGAAGUAAUAUUCAGCAGUCGUGGCAUUUAUGUAUAGUUGUUGUGUACUGCUGAAAAUGCAGGCUUUUGUAACAAUGUGAUCUUUAAUAAUGCACUAUAAGUACCCAAUGUAUUUUAGCUAUUUUAGUAGGAUUUGUUCAAUAAAGACGCAAGCUGUAAGGG
Long non-coding RNA from Lepidothrix coronata (blue-crowned manakin), 1979 nucleotides. Lineage: Eukaryota; Metazoa; Chordata; Aves; Passeriformes; Pipridae. The record is from Ensembl.